GACUCUGUGGCGCAAUGGUAGCACGUCUGACUCCAGAUCAGGAGGUUGCGUGUUCGAAUCACGUCAGGGUCA
This 72-nucleotide transfer RNA is filed under the name Saccoglossus kowalevskii. RNAcentral describes it as "tRNA-Trp". It matches the Rfam family "tRNA". From Rfam's summary of the family: Transfer RNA (tRNA) molecules are approximately 80 nucleotides in length. Their secondary structure includes four short double-helical elements and three loops (D, anti-codon, and T loops). The record is from RNAcentral. Lineage: Eukaryota; Metazoa; Hemichordata; Enteropneusta; Harrimaniidae.